GCAGAGGGGAGCCGAGGAGCGCGGCCCAGAGGACAGUCCGCAGCAGGGGCAGCAGCCGCAUCGCCCCCGGGGUCCGGUCUGGUCUGGUCCGGCCGGUCCGGCCCGCUUCCCAGUCGCCGCGAGAAAGCUUUGCGGAGUGGCAGCAGAGUCCUUUUGCCCUGGAAAGGAAUGUCCUCGCCACAAGGAGCAAAGGCUCUCUCCCCUUCCUCCUCUGCCCUUCUGGAGAAGGAAGCCACACAGGGCACCCGGCCAGGCACCCUCGGGCAGGGCUGUGACCUCUCACCAGCAUCUUCCUGCGCUCAUCGAUCUGACAGAACCAGUGUGCACUGAGCGCCAUCUGUGUCCCAGGAGAAGGCUGCCCUGCCCUCCAGCAGCCCCCAGGCCAUUGAAAGACACGCACACACAACUGACGAGACACGACAAAGUCCCUGCCUCACAGCUGAGCCCACAAAACAUCUCCUGGAAGUCACUUCAAGCAAAACGCAUCCCAAACCACCAUAUCCAUCUCUAACACACCCGUGAGCACAGCAGUUUUCUGUGUGUGUGUGUGUGUGAUGUGUGCACAUGCCUAUGCAGCUCUCUUCUGUGUAUCUCCCAAAGUCCCACAUAACGUGUCAGUUUCUUAAGACAAAAAUGUUAAUUGUUG
Manis javanica (Malayan pangolin) is the source of this 646-nucleotide long non-coding RNA. RefSeq lists it as uncharacterized. The record is from RefSeq and is a predicted model, not a curated record. Lineage: Eukaryota; Metazoa; Chordata; Mammalia; Pholidota; Manidae.